This 625-nucleotide ribosomal RNA is filed under the name Klebsiella variicola. RNAcentral describes it as "bacterial SSU rRNA". It matches the Rfam family "Bacterial small subunit ribosomal RNA", at positions 534 to 1159 of the family's 1533-position model. The record is from RNAcentral. Lineage: Bacteria; Pseudomonadati; Pseudomonadota; Gammaproteobacteria; Enterobacterales; Enterobacteriaceae.
GCAAGCGUUAAUCGGAAUUACUGGGCGUAAAGCGCACGCAGGCGGUCUGUCAAGUCGGAUGUGAAAUCCCCGGGCUCAACCUGGGAACUGCAUUCGAAACUGGCAGGCUAGAGUCUUGUAGAGGGGGGUAGAAUUCCAGGGGUAGCGGUGAAAUGCGUAGAGAUCUGGAGGAAUACCGGUGGCGAAGGCGGCCCCCUGGACAAAGACUGACGCUCAGGUGCGAAAGCGUGGGGAGCAAACAGGAUUAGAUACCCUGGUAGUCCACGCUGUAAACGAUGUCGAUUUGGAGGUUGUGCCCUUGAGGCGUGGCUUCCGGAGCUAACGCGUUAAAUCGACCGCCUGGGGAGUACGGCCGCAAGGUUAAAACUCAAAUGAAUUGACGGGGGCCCGCACAAGCGGUGGAGCAUGUGGUUUAAUUCGAUGCAACGCGAAGAACCUUACCUGGUCUUGACAUCCACAGAACUUUCCAGAGAUGGAUUGGUGCCUUCGGGAACUGUGAGACAGGUGCUGCAUGGCUGUCGUCAGCUCGUGUUGUGAAAUGUUGGGUUAAGUCCCGCAACGAGCGCAACCCUUAUCCUUUGUUGCCAGCGGUCCGGCCGGGAACUCAAAGGAGACUGCCAGUGAU